AUGUUGAAUCAUGCCACGAUCUAUAACCAUGGUGAUGCUAUUUCAACAAACUUCUUCUUCAUUCACUGUAGGCUUGCGUUGCACUGCGAUCCUUCCAAAUUGCGGGCUAUUUUUGCAAGAAUAGUUUUCUCAGUUUCAUGCUCUUAUGUGUUAUUCUCGCUUUAUCUCUCAUUAUUGUCACCUCCACAAUGUUCAAACAUUAUGAAGUUGUCGAGUUAG
This is a non-coding RNA of Vicia faba (fava bean), 219 nucleotides long. Lineage: Eukaryota; Viridiplantae; Streptophyta; Magnoliopsida; Fabales; Fabaceae. The record is from the annotation of a GenBank genome assembly.